UCGAGAACUGUCCAUUGCCGCCCUCUUCGAGGAAAUCGGUUAAAAGGGGGGGUCCCCAGAGCUACUCAAAGUUUAACCAAAUGGACUGAGUGCUAGCUGUGUCAGGAUGGAUGAGUUAGAGUGCCCAUACUGCCACAAGCAGUGUGACAAUAGAGGCAACAGGGACAAACAUGUAGACGCAUGCAAGAAGCAGAGGGACACAGGCAAGAGGGCCAAGCAUGGCCAGCAGACGUUGGCGAGCUUCUUCCAGCGCGGGCCUGCAGCGUCACCAGCAGCAGCAGCAGCAGCAUCCCCCAUGCAAUCAAGCAGCGCAGCGCCAGCAGCAUCAGCGUCGCCCAUGCAAGCGAGCAGUGCAGGCAAUGUGCCAGCAUCCCCUCCCACAGCGACCCCUUC
RNAcentral lists this long non-coding RNA (393 nucleotides) under Dunaliella salina. Its description in RNAcentral is "long non-coding RNA (DSAL_LNC000117)". Lineage: Eukaryota; Viridiplantae; Chlorophyta; Chlorophyceae; Chlamydomonadales; Dunaliellaceae. The record is from RNAcentral.